RNAcentral lists this ribosomal RNA (243 nucleotides) under uncultured bacterium. RNAcentral's name for it is "partial 16S ribosomal RNA". It matches the Rfam family "Bacterial small subunit ribosomal RNA", at positions 126 to 354 of the family's 1533-position model. The record is from RNAcentral.
CUACCUUAAAGACUGGGACAACAGUUGGAAACGACUGCUAAUACCGGAUACGCUGCACAUAGGGCAUCCUAGGUGCAGGAAAAGAGGCCUCUUAACAAUGCUCCUGCUUUUAGAUGAGUCUGCGUCUGAUUAGCUAGAUGGUGGGGUAAUGGCUUACCAUGGCGACGAUCAGUAGUCGGCCUGAGAGGAAGGUCCCCCACACUGGUACUGAGACACGGACCAGACUCCUACGGGAGGCAGCAG